UGGAUAACCGUGACAAAUUACAGCUAAUACAUGCAGUCAGACCUGGUCCAAGGGUCGUAAUUAUUAGUAUUAAACCAUUUCCUUCGGGAGUGUGAUGAUUCAUAAUAAUCGAACGAAUCGCCUGGUGUGCGAUAAAUCAUUCAAGUUUCUGCCCUAUCAGCUUUGGAUGGUAGUGUAUUGGACUACCAUGGCAGUCACGGGUAACGGAGAAUUAGGGUUCGAUUCCGGAGAGGGAGCCUGAGAAACGGCUACCACAUCUACGGAAGGCAGCAGGAGCGAAAAUUGCCCAAUCCCGACACGGGGAGGCAGUGACGAGAAAUAACAACUCUUGGUUAUUCUAAGAAGUGUAAUGAGGAUAAUUUAAAAACCUUACCGAAAGCAAUUGGGAGGGCAAGUCUGGUGCCAGCAGCCGCGGUAAUUCCAGCUCCAAUAGCGUAUAUUAAAGUUGUUGCAGUUAAAAAGCUCGUAGUUGAAGUUCUGGCUGCUUGACCCUCGAGCUCUGUAGCCGGGGGAUCAGCAGUCAUCCGCUUGCAAACAUAUAUCGCCCUUAACCGGGUGGGUAUGUGAGUAAGCAUUUUACCUUGAGAAAAACAGAGUGUUCCAGGCAGGUUUGUCCGGAAUGCAUUAGCAUGGAAUAAUAGAAUAUGACUGAAGUCGAUUUAUUGGUUUGAGGCUUUAGUAAUGAUUAAUAGGAACAGUCGGGGGCAUUGGUACUUGACAGUCAGAGGUGAAAUUCUAGGAUUUGUCAAAGACUAACAAAUGCGAAAGCAUUUGCCAAGGAUGUUUUCAUUAAUCAAGAACGAAAGUUAGGGGAUCAAAGACGAUCAGAUACCGUCCUAGUCUUAACUAUAAACUAUACCGACUCGGAUUCAGAUGAAUCAUAAAGUUCAUUUGGGACCGUAGGAGAAAUCAAAGUUUUUGGGUUCUGGGGGAAGUAUGGUCGCAAGGCUGAAACUUAAAGGAAUUGACGGUUUUGCACCACCAUGGAGUGGAGUCUGCGGCUUAAUUUGACUCAACACUGGGAAACUCAUCAGGGCAAGAAGAUUGUAGGAUUGACAGAUUGAGAGUUCUUUCUUGAUUGGUCUAGUGGUGGUGCAUGGCCGUUCUUAGUUGGUGGAGUGAUUUGUCUGGUUAAUUCCGUUAACGAACGAGACCUUAACCUGCUAACUAGUACACCGAUGACAAAUCGGUGAUACUUCUUAGAGGGACUAUGUGAUGUAAUCACAUGGAAGUUUGAGGCAAUAACAGGUCUGUGAUGCCCUUAGAUGUCCUGAGCUGCACGCGUACUACAAUGGUGCUUUCAGCGAGCUUUUCCUGAUCCGAAAGGAUUUGGGUAAUCUUUUUAGUGAGCACCGUGCUUGGGAUAGAUCUUUGUAAUUAUGGAUCUUGAACUAGGAAUUCCUAGUAAGCACGUGUCAUCAGCACGUGCUGAUUACGUCCCUGCAAAAUGUACACACCGCCC
This 1462-nucleotide ribosomal RNA is filed under the name Vorticella mayeri. Its description in RNAcentral is "SSU rRNA". It matches the Rfam family "Eukaryotic small subunit ribosomal RNA", at positions 140 to 1674 of the family's 1831-position model. The record is from RNAcentral. Lineage: Eukaryota; Ciliophora; Oligohymenophorea; Sessilida; Vorticellidae.